ACGUAGGGGGCAAGCGUUGUCCGGAAUGAUUGGGCGUAAAGGGCGUGUAGGCGGCUAAGUAAGUCUGGAGUGAAAGUCCUGCUUUUAAGGUGGGAAUUGCUUUGGAUACUGCAUAGCUAGAGUGCAGGAGAGGUAAGUGGAAUUCCCAGUGUAGCGGUGAAAUGCGUAGAGAUUGGGAGGAACACCAGUGGCGAAGGCGACUUACUGGACUGUAACUGACGCUGAGGCGCGAAAGUGUGGGGAGCAAACAG
RNAcentral lists this ribosomal RNA (251 nucleotides) under uncultured bacterium. Its description in RNAcentral is "partial 16S ribosomal RNA". It matches the Rfam family "Bacterial small subunit ribosomal RNA", at positions 525 to 775 of the family's 1533-position model. The record is from RNAcentral.